This 497-nucleotide ribosomal RNA is filed under the name uncultured bacterium. Its description in RNAcentral is "partial 16S ribosomal RNA". It matches the Rfam family "Bacterial small subunit ribosomal RNA", at positions 28 to 507 of the family's 1533-position model. The record is from RNAcentral.
GACGAACGCUGGCGGCGUGCUUAAUACAUGCAAGUCGAGCGAACGGACGAGACGCUUGCUUCUCUGAUGUUAGCGGCGGACGGGUGAGUAACACGUGUAUAACCUACCUAUCAGACUGGGAUAACUUCGGGAAACCGGAGCUUAUACCGGAUAAUCUUCUGAACCGCAUGGUUCAAAAGUGAAAGACGGUCUUGCUGUCACUUAUAGAUGGUUCUGCGCUGCAUUAGCUAGUUGUUACGGUAACGGCUUACCAAGGCAACGAUGCAUAGCCGACCUGAGAGAGUGAUCGGCCACACUGGAACUGAGACGCGGUCAAGACUCCUGCGGGAGGCAGCAGUAGGGAAUCUUCCGCAGUGGGCGAAAGCCUGACGGAGCAACGCGGCGUGAGUGAUGAAGGUCUUCGGAUCGUAAAACUCUGUUAUUAGGGAAGAACAUAUGUGUAAGUAACUGUGCACAUAUUGACGGUACCUAAUCAGAAAGCCACGGCUAACUACGUG